GUAAAGUGGCGCACGGUGAGUAACGCGUAGAUAACCUGUCUUCAUGUCUGGAAUAAUACGCCGAAAGGGGUACUAAUACCGGAUAUUCUUGCUUUUCAUAAGUUAUGCAAGCAAAGGUGGCCUCUGCAUAUGCUACUGCAUGAAGAGGGGUCUGCGUACCAUUAGCUAGUAGGUGGGGUAAUGGCCUACCUAGGCGACGAUGGUUAGCGGGUCUGAGAGGAUGAUCCGCCACACUGGCACUGGAACACGGGCCAGACUCCUACGGGAGGCAGCAGUGAGGAAUAUUGCGCAAUGGGGGAAACCCUGACGCAGCGACGCCGCGUGAGUGAAGGAAGGCCUUCGGGUCGUAAAGCUCUGUCAAGAGGAAAGAAGUGUACAAUGGCUAAUACCUGUUGUAUUUGACGGUACCUCUAAAGGAAGCACCGGCUAACUCCGUGCCAGCCGCAGC
Molecule: ribosomal RNA, 448 nt
Filed under: uncultured bacterium
Lineage: Bacteria
Description: bacterial SSU rRNA
Rfam family: Bacterial small subunit ribosomal RNA
Source: RNAcentral